RNAcentral lists this ribosomal RNA (253 nucleotides) under uncultured bacterium. RNAcentral's name for it is "partial 16S ribosomal RNA". It matches the Rfam family "Bacterial small subunit ribosomal RNA", at positions 524 to 776 of the family's 1533-position model. The record is from RNAcentral.
UACGUAGGGGGCAAGCGUUAUCCGGAUUUACUGGGUGUAAAGGGAGCGUAGACGGCCUUGCAAGUCUGGUGUGAAAGCCCGGGGCUCAACCCCGGGACUGCACUGGAAACUGCAUGGCUGGAGUGCAGGAGAGGUAAGCGGAAUUCCUAGUGUAGCGGUGAAAUGCGUAGAUAUUAGGAGGAACACCAGUGGCGAAGGCGGCUUACUGGACUGUAACUGACGUUGAGGCUCGAAAGCGUGGGGAGCAAACAGG